GUGCACUUUUCGGCUUUCGAGUUAGUUGUCAAAUUGAUUUCAAAAUUCAUAAAUCAACUAAAAGUGAAGCGCAAGCAACACCGACGCAAGUCAAGUACAAAAUUAAAUUAGAACCAGCAGGAAAACCAAGGGCGGCACAACCACAACCGAAAAAUGUACAAAAUGUUAAACAUAGCAUCAAAUUGUAUCGGACAGUUCCAAAGAGAGAUAGAGAGAGAGGGGGGAGCCACAAGAGUCGAGCAGAAGCAUAAAAUAAGCUGAAGCGUGGUGUGAAAGAGAUAGGAACAGACGGAGAGCCGGACAAACGGAAUAUUAAUCUUAAGGAUAGAUAGAUGGAGAGCGGAAGUAGGCUGAAUUUCAAAUAUAAUAAUUUAUAAUACAUACAAUAAAUAAUAAUAUUAUAAUAAAUAGUUGCACUGAAAAGUCUAUCUGGUUUUACACUCCUACAAAUGGUCCAAUGUAAACCACCUUGAACCAUCUGAUUCCAAAAAGUACUAAUUCUAUACAUAGCCUGUUGUUACAUAUAAAGUCUGCCACGCCUACCGCUGCCCCUCUCAUAUAUAUGCACAAAGACUUGAAGCACUAAACACCCUAAUUUAUCGCCUUAUACAGGGUAUUAAAACAAUAACGGGCAUUUCAAAGUGCAUGCUCUCGAAAUACCCUUUAUUACAAAAUAGCUGAGCAUGCUUUACGGCUCGCACACACAAAAAUACACAUCCACACACACACAGAGAAAGAGAGAGUGAGAGAGAAUCGUAAAGUUUAAUGACGCCAUUUUCGAGUCGCGCAAAGUUGCCUUUUGAAAUAUGAAUAGACCCUCAGGUUGGGCAUAGACACAAGGAGCUCGCCAUCUAAUGCUAAGGAGAUUAGUUCAAUGGCAUCGUCAGCGACGUCGUACUCGACGUUGUCGGCUUUUUCGGUAGCUCCACCAAUAAAAUUGGUUUAUGCGAUCUGCCAGUACAAGAACAACAACAACAACAACAGCAACAACUUUUUGCCAGCCCACUUUUCAAUCGGGCUGUAAUUGACAUUGUUUUCGUAGCUCCUGUUGUCCAGGACAACAGCCGUCCUUAAGCCCGGCACGAACACACACAAAUUAAGCUCGUAAAAUUUAAUAUUUUUGCGCAAAACUUUGCCGAGGAGAUCUUGCUACAUCUUAAUUGUUGGCGCUUCCGUUCGAGAUGCUACAUUAAUUUCGAAGUAAAUCCCAUGGUCUCCAUUCACCAGAGAAGAAUAGCUGUAUCCAUAUAAAGCGAGCCAGGCCUUCAACAAAUUCUAAUUUAUUGCAAUUAUGUGACGCAUGUCACACUCACUGCUGACCAUUGACCAGGAGGCCGACACGUGACCAAUCUGCUUGCCCCGGGGCCACUGAUUGGAAAACACUAAACAGAUAGGCUAGUCGAGCGGGCGGCCAGACAGCAGCUGUCCGACCAUUCUAUAGAGAUUUAUUUUACGCUGAUAACACGCUUAAGUAAAUGCAGCGCACACACAGACACACACACGCCGUCGUCGUGGACGUCACCCAGCUCCCAGUUCGAGUUCGUACAAUUUAAAUGGCGAUUAAAUCUGUUGGCAUUGAUGGAUGUGUCCAAGGCGGCUGCGUGGCUAGCGGGCUGACUGGCUGCCGGGCUGCCAGGCUGCUGGGUUGGCAGCCUGUUCUGUGGUCAGUCUGCAGGAUGCGGCGCCGUGUUAACACUUUUGUACAAUUGCCAAUUUUUCGCCAGCGCCUGCUGAUGAGCUAUCCUCAACAGCCGAGCAGCCCGCCUGGCCUGACUGUGUGUGGGUGGUUGGUUGGUUUGCCUGGUUGCUGGCCAGCGGUGGCUUUUGUGGUGUUGUCCUCGGCUGAAAGCCUGUUCUUGCCGUGAGUGGGUGGACAUUGAGUUGGGCUGGCAUGCGGCUACACUUCAAUAUUCAUUUGAACGCAUAAUUGAUAUUGACGAACAAUGUUGCCGUGUCGCUACAAUGUUUCAAGUGCACUGGGAGAAUGCGCUAAGCCUGCAUUAAGAUAUUUAUAUGUGUAUGUACUUAAUUCAUUUAUAUAUUACAUAUUUAAUUUUGAUUUUUAAAAA
This is a long non-coding RNA of Drosophila mojavensis, 2069 nucleotides long. RefSeq lists it as uncharacterized. NCBI's taxonomy places the organism in Eukaryota, Metazoa, Arthropoda, Insecta, Diptera, Drosophilidae. The record is from RefSeq and is a predicted model, not a curated record. The transcript is spliced from 4 exons.